AGUGAUAAGCUGAUGCAUUUGUAUGGUGCAAAAUGCAGACCAUGGUGAGGUUGCCCAACACAUUCAUCACCUCCCAUAAUUACCUGCUUCUUUUUUUAAAUUUUGUGCUGAGAAUGUUUCAGAUCUAGUGUCUUGGCAACUUUGAGGCUCACAACCCAGCUUUGCUGACUAUGGUCCCCAUGCCUGGACUCGUUCAUCCUAUCACGGGAAGCACAUGGCUCUGACCCACAUCUCCGCAUUUCUGCAUCUCCAGCACCUAGAGACCACGUGUCCACUCUCUGCUUCUGUGAGUUUGACUAUUUUGGAUUCCACGUAAAAGUGAGCUCCCGCAGAAUUGGACUUAUUUCACUCAGCAUAAUCCCCUCCAGUUCCAUCCAUGUUGAUGCAAAUGGCUUCGGGCUGGCGCUCACUGAAGCCCCGCCAGGCAGGCAGGCAGGUCGCCCCUUCCCCUCCUCCAGCGCCAAGGGUCGCGUGACCCUGCUUUCCUGCAGACGAAAGAAAACAGCAUUCCACAGAAAGGUUUGUGCUGGUGGCUUUUCAAAAGAAACCCCCAAAUACGUUUCCCCGGACCCACGCAGAAUUCACACAUUUUGCACCCUACGGCUGGCUUCCCUCUUGUCCUCCUUCCUGUGUCUUUGUGCCUCGUGGGGACCCGGAGCUGGUGUUAAGAUUAUUUUGAGCUGAAGGCAUUCGAGUGUCGACCAGAGGCAGAAAGAAGCCUUCUCCAGGCGCUUCCCUCAUCCGGCACAAACCCGCAACUCCCGGGAAGCAGAGCUCCAUAAGUUCCUCUUCUGGCCCGCUCUCUGCCCCAGAAGGCAGAAAGCAGUAAAACCCACCCAAACCCUCUGUCCAGAGCAGUUUAUGGCCCUGCAGGAGAUGCAGAGACCACUCAUAUCUGUCUGGACCAACAUCACUGCAACCUUUCUUACCUGCUGUUUGUUUUGAGAAAACCCAUCGAUGGUCCCACAAAGUCAUCUGUGCUCUUGUAAGGUCACUGAGAACCAGCAGAAGCAGGAGACGCUCUAGGAACGGGACGCCCAUUUCUGUAAAGAAAAUUCACAUUCAUAAGUGAAAUAUCCCCUUGUAGAGAUGUCUCCCUGUCCCAGAGCUGGAAGAGGACCCCCUUGUAACAACUCUUAUCAAUGGAGGACGUCUUGACUUACAUCCGCAUAACAAACACCACGGAACACCCCGUUCACCAUACUAUCCUGGUCACUUUCCCAUAACUUGCUUCCAUAGUGCAGGAACCCAAAAUCCCUUUGCCUUUGUUUAGCCUGAAAAAGUAUAUAAGCCCCUUCUAACCAACCCUCAGUGUUACUCAUCUCUGGGUACUCUCAUGUGUAAGUGUGAUGCAAUGUUAAUAAACUACUGCUUGUGUUUCUCUUGUUGA
Molecule: long non-coding RNA, 1390 nt
Organism: Callorhinus ursinus (northern fur seal)
Lineage: Eukaryota; Metazoa; Chordata; Mammalia; Carnivora; Otariidae
Source: RefSeq, a predicted model, not a curated record